RNAcentral lists this unclassified non-coding RNA (391 nucleotides) under soil metagenome. RNAcentral's name for it is "partial contains 5.8S ribosomal RNA, internal transcribed spacer 2, and large subunit ribosomal RNA". The stretch from base 1 to 122 matches the Rfam family "5.8S ribosomal RNA", at positions 35 to 154 of the family's 154-position model. The record is from RNAcentral.
GAUGAAGAACGCAGCGAAAUGCGAUACUUGGUGUGAAUUGCAGAAUCCCGUGAACCAUCGAGUCUUUGAACGCAAGUUGCGCCCGAAGCCAUUAGGCCGAGGGCACGCCUGCCUGGGCGUCACACGUCGUUGCCCCCCCAUCUACUCCUUCGGGAUUGCGGGGGGCGGAUGAUGGCCUCCCGUGCGCCUCGUCGCGCGGUUGGCAUAAAUACCAAGUCCUCGGCGACGCACGCCACGACAAGCGGUGGUUGCGAAACCUCGGUUGCCCGUCGUGUGCGGUCGUCGCGCAUCGAGGGCUCGAAAAAAUUGCCGGGCUCCGGCUCGGCUUUCAACGCGACCCCAGGUCAGGCGGGGUUACCCGCUGAAUUUAAGCAUAUCAAUAAGCGGAGGA